This 253-nucleotide ribosomal RNA is filed under the name uncultured bacterium. RNAcentral's name for it is "partial 16S ribosomal RNA". It matches the Rfam family "Bacterial small subunit ribosomal RNA", at positions 524 to 776 of the family's 1533-position model. The record is from RNAcentral.
UACGGAGGGGGCUAGCGUUGUUCGGAAUUACUGGGCGUAAAGCGCACGUAGGCGGAUUGGAAAGUUGGGGGUGAAAUCCCGGGGCUCAACCCCGGAACUGCCUUCAAAACUCCCAGUCUGGAGGUCGAGAGAGGUGAGUGGAAUUCCGAGUGUAGAGGUGAAAUUCGUAGAUAUUCGGAGGAACACCAGUGGCGAAGGCGGGUCUCUGGGCCGUAACUGACGCUGAGGCGCGAAAGCGUGGGGAGCAAACAGG